This is a long non-coding RNA of Mauremys mutica (yellowpond turtle), 779 nucleotides long. RefSeq lists it as uncharacterized. The record is from RefSeq and is a predicted model, not a curated record. The transcript has 5 exons. Lineage: Eukaryota; Metazoa; Chordata; Testudines; Geoemydidae.
UCUGGUUACGUUAACAUGUUUUGUGCGGCGAGUCGCCUAGCAAUCCAAGGAGAAGGCAUUCGUUCCCCCAGCCUCCGUAUGUACAUCUGCCAGAGAGAAAGGAAUCCUCCAGUCACUUUUUGCUGAAGCAAUCACCUGGUAGUACAGAAAGCAUGUGAUACUGGCCCAGAAACAAGAGUACUGAACAUAGGCAAACUGCUUCAUUUAAUCUGCAUUAUUUACUCUUAUGGCCGUUGUGGGCACCAUUUCAUCAGCAGAAGCUUUUUCACAUUCAGAAGAUUUUAUUUUCUUAAUCAGAAUGACCGGCACCUUCCCCGCUCACCCUCUUUAAGCAGGAGUUAAGCAAGCAUGUGGUUCCUGAGUCACACCCUGGAUGUAGGAGAGUUCAUGGGAGCAGCAUCUCUGAGCUGGGAUGCAGCAGGAAUUACCUUGUACUAUGGAAAGCUAGUUGGGAAACAUGCCAUAUCAGAAGAUUUGCCAGACGUCUUCACCUUGUCUCUUCCUUUCUGGGCUCAGUCAGCUUUGUGCCAGGGAUUGACCCAGGGCCCUCUGCAGCAACACACAUCAACUUCUAUAGCUAGAGUUUAAGAAGCAGCCUCUGUACAUGGGAGUUAUAACAUGCACAUCUGUGUGUUGGGCACUGAAAGGCUUCUGAUCAAUCCAGCAAAAUCCUCAUGAUUAUCAUCUACAAGGAGGGCAAGAGCAUAUGAGUCGAAUUUCGAUCCCAGUUUCAAAUAAGAUGCCUGCCAACAGAUUAAACAAUAUGUGCCUUCCUGCUU